This 22-nucleotide microRNA is filed under the name Sarcophilus harrisii (Tasmanian devil). Its description in RNAcentral is "Sha-Mir-10-P2b_3p* (star (passenger))". RNAcentral also lists the same sequence under 2 other names. Lineage: Eukaryota; Metazoa; Chordata; Mammalia; Dasyuromorphia; Dasyuridae. The record is from RNAcentral.
CAAGCUCGAGUCUGUGGGUCUG